GUCCUACGGGGGGGGCNGCAGUAGGGAAUCUUCCGCAAUGGGCGAAAGCCUGACGGAGCAAUGCCGCGUGAGUGAUGAAGGUUUUCGGAUCGUAAAGCUCUGUUGCCAGGGAAGAACGCUUGGGAGAGUAACUGCUCUCAAGGUGACGGUACCUGAGAAGAAAGCCCCGGCUAACUACGUGCCAGCAGCCGCGGUAAUACGUAGGGGGCAAGCGUUGUCCGGAAUUAUUGGGCGUAAAGCGCGCGCAGGCGGUCAUUUAAGUCUGGUGUUUAAUCCCGGGGCUCAACCCCGGAUCGCACUGGAAACUGGGUGACUUGAGUGCAGAAGAGGAGAGUGGAAUUCCACGUGUAGCGGUGAAAUGCGUAGAUAUGUGGAGGAACACCAGUGGCGAAGGCGACUCUCUGGGCUGUAACUGACGCUGAGGCGCGAAAGCGUGGGGAGCAAACAGGAUUAGAUACCCGNRGUAGUCA
RNAcentral lists this ribosomal RNA (470 nucleotides) under Paenibacillus mobilis. RNAcentral describes it as "bacterial SSU rRNA". The record is from RNAcentral. Lineage: Bacteria; Bacillati; Bacillota; Bacilli; Caryophanales; Paenibacillaceae.